Molecule: ribosomal RNA, 123 nt
Organism: Myotis lucifugus (little brown bat)
Lineage: Eukaryota; Metazoa; Chordata; Mammalia; Chiroptera; Vespertilionidae
Source: Ensembl
GUCUACGGCCAUACCACCCUGAAAGUGCCCGAUCUCAUCUGAUCUCAGAAGCUAAGCAGGGUCGGGCCUGGUUAGUACUUGGAUGGGAGAAAACACACUUUAAAAAUGUGGAUCAUGUGUGUA